Molecule: ribosomal RNA, 253 nt
Filed under: uncultured archaeon
Lineage: Archaea
Description: partial 16S ribosomal RNA
Rfam family: Archaeal small subunit ribosomal RNA
Source: RNAcentral
UCCCAGCGGUCCAAGUCGCAAUCACAAUUAUUGGGUCUAAAACAUCCGUAGCUUGCUUAGUAAGUCUCUUGUGAAAUCUGGCCUCUUAAGGGUCAACGUGCAAGAGAUACUGCAAAGCUAGAGACCGGGAGAAGUAAGAAGUACGGUCGGGGUACCGGUAAAAUGGGUUGAUCCCGUCUGGACUAACAACAGCGAAGGCAUCUUACUAGCACGGAUCUGACAGUGAGGGAUGAAGGCUAGGGGCGCAAAAGGG